Molecule: ribosomal RNA, 573 nt
Filed under: uncultured bacterium
Lineage: Bacteria
Description: partial 16S ribosomal RNA
Rfam family: Bacterial small subunit ribosomal RNA
Source: RNAcentral
UGGGGAAUUUUGGACAAUGGGGGAAACCCUGAUCCAGCCAUCCCGCGUGUGCGAUGAAGGCCUUCGGGUUGUAAAGCACUUUUGGCAGGAAAGAAACGUCGCGGGUUAAUACCCCGCGAAACUGACGGUACCUGCAGAAUAAGCACCGGCUAACUACGUGCCAGCAGCCGCGGUAAUACGUAGGGUGCAAGCGUUAAUCGGAAUUACUGGGCGUAAAGCGUGCGCAGGCGGUUCGGAAAGAAAGAUGUGAAAUCCCAGAGCUUAACUUUGGAACUGCAUUUUUAACUACCGGGCUAGAGUGUGUCAGAGGGAGGUGGAAUUCCGCGUGUAGCAGUGAAAUGCGUAGAUAUGCGGAGGAACACCGAUGGCGAAGGCAGCCUCCUGGGAUAACACUGACGCUCAUGCACGAAAGCGUGGGGAGCAAACAGGAUUAGAUACCCUGGUAGUCCACGCCCUAAACGAUGUCAACUAGCUGUUGGGGCCUUCGGGCCUUGGUAGCGCAGCUAACGCGUGAAGUUGACCGCCUGGGGAGUACGGUCGCAAGAUUAAAACUUAAAUGAAUUGACGGGGUCA